GUGGCUGUAGUUCAGUUGGUUAGAACACCUGAUUGUGAUUCAGGGGGUCGUGGGUUCAAGUCCCAUCAGCCACCCCA
RNAcentral lists this transfer RNA (77 nucleotides) under Deltaproteobacteria bacterium CG11_big_fil_rev_8_21_14_0_20_47_16. RNAcentral's name for it is "tRNA-His". It matches the Rfam family "tRNA". Rfam says of the family: Transfer RNA (tRNA) molecules are approximately 80 nucleotides in length. Their secondary structure includes four short double-helical elements and three loops (D, anti-codon, and T loops). The record is from RNAcentral. Lineage: Bacteria; Deltaproteobacteria.